This 301-nucleotide ribosomal RNA is filed under the name uncultured bacterium. Its description in RNAcentral is "partial 16S ribosomal RNA". It matches the Rfam family "Bacterial small subunit ribosomal RNA", at positions 509 to 809 of the family's 1533-position model. The record is from RNAcentral.
CAGUCGCCGCGGGAACACGUAGGUGGCAAGCGUUGUCCGGAAUUAUUGGGCGUAAAGGGCUCGCAGGCGGUUUCUUAAGUCUGAUGUGAAAGCCCCCGGCUCAACCGGGGAGGGUCAUUGGAAACUGGGAAACUUGAGUGCAGAAGAGGAGAGUGGAAUUCCACGUGUAGCGGUGAAAUGCGUAGAGAUGUGGAGGAACACCAGUGGCGAAGGCGACUCUCUGGUCUGUAACUGACGCUGAGGAGCGAAAGCGUGGGGAGCGAACAGGAUUAGAUACCCCUGUAGUCCCUGUCUCUUAUAA